This 235-nucleotide unclassified non-coding RNA is filed under the name rhizosphere metagenome. Its description in RNAcentral is "partial ribosomal RNA internal transcribed spacer region". The record is from RNAcentral.
GAGUGCGGGAACCCAGUCGGGUCCCAAUCUCCCACCCGUGUCUACCACACCUAGUGUUGCUUUGGCGGGCCCACUCCUCCGGUGUUCCGCCGGGGGGGUCGUCCCGGGGCGCGGUGUGCCCCCGGGGCCCGUGCCCGCCAGAGGCACUCACUGUGAACGCUUUUGUGAAUGCGAGGAUUGUCUGAGUGACGAAAUGCAAUCGUUCAAAACUUUCAACAAUGGAUCUCUUGGUUCC